Non-coding RNA from Ictidomys tridecemlineatus (thirteen-lined ground squirrel), 2202 nucleotides. The record is from RefSeq and is a predicted model, not a curated record. NCBI's taxonomy places the organism in Eukaryota, Metazoa, Chordata, Mammalia, Rodentia, Sciuridae.
AUGUGCCAACUCAGACAGAAAACAGGAUUCAAAGAGGAGCUUUUGUUGAGGAGGGAUGAUGAAAAAGAUGUGUUUGCUCCUCACGGGCUGCGGAAAUAAAGAAUUUAUUAGUCAUAGAUGAGCCAGAUGAAUGAAAACUAAACCUGCUUAAGGGAAGGCAUUAAGAAGACCAUGUCCUCUGUAGAAGAUGAGUCAUUAGAGAAUGAUAAGGGCAGAAGAGUCUUCGGAUUCUGGAAUGGCAUUCAAGUGAUUGUAUUUGCUGGAGGAAAUGGUGAUUAUUUAUACCUUUGCAAGUGACCACUUGCUAUCAAAGCCCUCAAGUCUCUGGGGAGAGGAAGAAACCUUGCUUGGAUGACAAUCAUACGGUCUCUUUACAAGCAUGAAAUAGUGCCAUCAAUUUUAGCAGCACUUUGGGAAACAAAGCAAAACAAACAGAAAAAACUCUCACCUUGCUCCCUGCUGUCCUUCUUCCCAGCCCACACACAGCCUUUUGACAGCUCAACUGUGUGACUUUUGGAUCUUCCUUAUAAGGAUGUUUGAAAAGAUAUAAGUGACAGGAAUCAAUGCACAUCAUCUUAAUUACUAAACACAGUUUAUUGUAAGCCCUUUAGCUCCCAAUAAUUAAGAUAAAUGCUCCGUCCUCACACUAAGGCUGGGUCUACUUUUCCACAAAAGGUAGAAACAUUAGUUAGGAAAUUCUAAUAAUCCCAAACUGACUCUUCUGUCAAAGACAUCUUGAACUAUAAGGAGAACUGCCUCAGAUAUGCAGACCCUACUUCUUUAUAAAUAUCCUAGUAUCUGCUGUGCAUGCAUCUCCUUCUUCUUGGUGUUGUAUUUCAGUAACCCACAAGUAGUUGUGGUAUAACCUGUGGAAGGGCAGGAUUCUCCUCUGACAAUUUUUGUAAAUAUAUUUUUCAAAAUGUAUACAUGUUUUUAGAUUGGGGAGUAAGACACACUGAUUGUAGAACAAUACAAUAUAAAAUAUCUGAAAUAUGUAGAUAUGGAUAUAGACACCACAGUGUAAAGGCUUCCUCAGCAUCUGGGAAUCUCUGGAGAUUUGGUGAUCGCAGGGAUGCAUAGUUUCCCUAGCAUCCUGUCAGGGGAAUAGAGAUCUGCAUAAGUAUCCAGUGAGCUAAUCUCCCAAGGUGACAACCUGGGGACAUCCAGUCAUUUUCCUGGGAAGUGGGGCGGGGGCAUUUGCAUUUUCUACAACUCAAUUUUUUAUACAACUGGAGACUUUGCAUCCACCAUCUUGACCCUCAAAUCUACCUUGUUAGCUAGACAACCUCUGUAUUUGGCAUCCUCAGUUCCCUACAAAAUCCCUCAGUAACUUCCUGCCUCCUGCAGUAGAAAGGCAAACAAGCUGUGUGUUUGGUCUUCAUCCUCCUUGGUUGAUUUGCUCUUCUAUCAAUGUCACCUUGAAGCCCCACUAAUGAGGAUGCUCAGUGGUAUCUCUGUAGCCCCCAGACUUGGAUUAUACUUUCCCUUCAGACUGGACCUUUUUCACCACUCUUGCCAGGCUUUCUCCUGCUCGUCCUGUAAUGUGCAGCUUGGCAACCACCUUGUCCUGGAAGGGGCUACUCUAUUUUCCCAUGAUCCUUUGCACAUCUCUCUAUCGUUACUGAUUGGAUAGAUGAAAUUUCACCCUGAGCUUAGAACUACUGCUUUAGUCCUGGCUGAGAUGUUGCCUGGAAAGGGGAUGCUUGAUGAAUUCCCAGUUAUUUCCACCUGCAAGAGGAAAGGGCUGAAUUGGAAAGAUAAAUAAGGAAAGAGCUGAAGGGGUUCAGGAAAAAUUAUCCCCCCAAAAUGGCACCUCAGCACAUUGAAGAAAUAGGGAGAAGCAGGAAGGCCAUUUGCACCUUACCUCGCCUUUCUUCAUUAAAGUAGGUCAUAAACCUAGGAGGAAUUUUUCUGAACUUCCCUUGAAAUAGAUCAUAAGAUGCUUAUGCAAAAAGUGUCCUCUUUAUACUAGGAAGAGGAGAAUUCUUAUUUCUGAAGGCCAAAGGUCAUGGAGCAGAAUAAAGACAAACAGGACUAAGUUCCCCCAGUUCAUUACUGUUAGCUCACCCCUUCUGUACCUUACCACAUGUGUAUCUCCACGGCUGCCCACUCUUCAUCAAACCCGACAUAAAAAUGUGUACAUGGAACCGUUUCUUCAGGUCUUUAUUUCCUUAUGAAGGUUCCUGGGUCACACAAAACUUA